This 795-nucleotide ribosomal RNA is filed under the name Clostridium sp. K25. RNAcentral's name for it is "bacterial SSU rRNA". It matches the Rfam family "Bacterial small subunit ribosomal RNA", at positions 8 to 818 of the family's 1533-position model. The record is from RNAcentral. Lineage: Bacteria; Bacillati; Bacillota; Clostridia; Eubacteriales; Clostridiaceae.
AGAGUUUGAUCCUGGCUCAGGACGAACGCUGGCGGCGUGCCUAACACAUGCAAGUCGAGCGAUGAAACUUCCUUCGGGGAGUGGAAUAGCGGCGGACGGGUGAGUAACACGUGGGUAACCUGCCUCAAAGAGGGGGAUAGCCUCCCGAAAGGGAGAUUAAUACCGCAUAACAUUAUUUUAUGGCAUCAUAGAAUAAUCAAAGGAGUAAUCCGCUUUGAGAUGGACCCGCGGCGCAUUAGCUAGUUGGUGAGGUAAGGGCUCACCAAGGCGACGAUGCGUAGCCGACCUGAGAGGGUGAUCGGCCACAUUGGAACUGAGACACGGUCCAGACUCCUACGGGAGGCAGCAGUGGGGAAUAUUGCGCAAUGGGGGAAACCCUGACGCAGCAACGCCGCGUGAGUGAUGAAGGUUUUCGGAUCGUAAAACUCUGUCUUUAGGGACGAUAAUGACGGUACCUAAGGAGGAAGCCACGGCUAACUACGUGCCAGCAGCCGCGGUAAUACGUAGGUGGCAAGCGUUGUCCGGAUUUACUGGGCGUAAAGAGUAUGUAGGUGGGUGCUUAAGUCAGAUGUGAAAUUCCCGGGCUUAACCUGGGCGCUGCAUUUGAAACUGGGCAUCUAGAGUGCAGGAGAGGAAAGUGGAAUUCCUAGUGUAGCGGUGAAAUGCGUAGAGAUUAGGAAGAACACCAGUGGCGAAGGCGACUUUCUGGACUGUAACUGACACUGAGAUACGAAAGCGUGGGUAGCAAACAGGAUUAGAUACCCUGGUAGUCCACGCCGUAAACGAUGAAUACGC